This 253-nucleotide ribosomal RNA is filed under the name uncultured bacterium. Its description in RNAcentral is "partial 16S ribosomal RNA". It matches the Rfam family "Bacterial small subunit ribosomal RNA", at positions 524 to 776 of the family's 1533-position model. The record is from RNAcentral.
UACAGAGGGUGCGAGCGUUAAUCGGAAUUACUGGGCGUAAAGCGCACGUAGUCGGCUUUGCAAGUCGGAUGUGAAAUCCCCGGGCUCAACCUGGGAAUUGCAUUCGAAACUGGAUAGCUAGAGUUCGGCAGAGGGAAGCGGAAUUUCUGGUGUAGCGGUGAAAUGCGUAGAUAUCAGAAGGAACACCAGUGGCGAAGGCGACUACCUGGCCUGUUCUUGACGCUGAGGCGCGAAAGCUAGGGGAGCAAACGGG